CGUGUAGGCUGCCUCGCAAGUCGGAUGUGAAAGCCCUGGGCUCAACCUAGGAAGUGCAUUCGAAACUGCGAGGCUGGAGUCCUGGAGAGGAAGGCGGAAUUCUCGGUGUAGAGGUGAAAUUCGUAGAUAUCGAGAGGAACACCGGUGGCGAAGGCGGCCUUCUGGACAGUGACUGACGCUGAGACGCGAAAGCGUGGGGAGCAAACA
Molecule: ribosomal RNA, 207 nt
Filed under: uncultured delta proteobacterium
Lineage: Bacteria; Deltaproteobacteria
Description: partial 16S ribosomal RNA
Rfam family: Bacterial small subunit ribosomal RNA
Source: RNAcentral